UUGAACUGAAGAGUUUGAUCCUGGCUCAGAUUGAACGCUGGCGGCAUGCCUUACACAUGCAAGUCGAACGGCAGCACGGGUGCUUGCACCUGGUGGCGAGUGGCGAACGGGUGAGUAAUACAUCGGAACAUGUCCUGUAGUGGGGGAUAGCCCGGCGAAAGCCGGAUUAAUACCGCAUACGAUCCACGGAUGAAAGCGGGGGACCUUCGGGCCUCGCGCUAUAGGGUUGGCCGAUGGCUGAUUAGCUAGUUGGUGGGGUAAAGGCCUACCAAGGCGACGAUCAGUAGCUGGUCUGAGAGGACGACCAG
Molecule: ribosomal RNA, 308 nt
Filed under: Burkholderia cenocepacia
Lineage: Bacteria; Pseudomonadati; Pseudomonadota; Betaproteobacteria; Burkholderiales; Burkholderiaceae
Description: partial 16S ribosomal RNA
Rfam family: Bacterial small subunit ribosomal RNA
Source: RNAcentral